RNAcentral lists this small RNA (107 nucleotides) under Marmota monax (woodchuck). The record is from RNAcentral. Lineage: Eukaryota; Metazoa; Chordata; Mammalia; Rodentia; Sciuridae.
GCUGGGUGUGGUGGUGCAUACCUGUAAUCUCAGUGGCUUGGGAGUCUGAGGCAGGAGGAUCACAAGUUCAAGGCCAGCCUCAGCAACUUAGUGAGACCCUGUCUCAA